RNAcentral lists this non-coding RNA (78 nucleotides) under Methyloligella halotolerans. Lineage: Bacteria; Pseudomonadati; Pseudomonadota; Alphaproteobacteria; Hyphomicrobiales; Hyphomicrobiaceae. The record is from RNAcentral.
CGGAUCCUUCGUGGUGAUUUGGCCGGCGGCUUGCAGCCACGUAAAACAAGUCGCUAAAAGGGCCGUUGCGGGAAAGCC